GUACAACGAGAGGGUUAAGCAUGAGAAUUAAAGAACAUAAAGAAGAUAUUAGGACAGGGAAACUUAGCACAGCGUUGACUAUAAAAACAUACGAAAGUGAUGUAGAUAUAAAGUGGAACGAUGCAAAGAUUAUAAAGCCAUUACAAGAUGUUAAAAGAAUCGCUACUGUAGAGAGUAUCCAGAUUGAGAAAAGGAAACAGGCAUGUGACGUCAUUAAUGCUAAUGAGCCACAAAUAUUACCAAUGUCAUGGAAAUGGUGCGCUACACACGCAAUAUAGACAUAUGGAGGAAAUGUUACUUGUUCGUUGAUUACUUUAUUUUAUUUAGUGCAUUUUAUUCUCUUUAUUUUGUUAUUUUGUUUAUGUCUUUGUAUAUACAAUUUAGAUAUUUAUAUUAUAGCUAAUUUAUGUAUUUUUAUUUGAAAUUCAAAAUUAAGAAUACAC
RNAcentral lists this long non-coding RNA (443 nucleotides) under Androctonus crassicauda. The record is from RNAcentral. Lineage: Eukaryota; Metazoa; Arthropoda; Arachnida; Scorpiones; Buthidae.